UGACGAGUGGCGGACGGGUGAGUAAUGUCUGGGAAACUGCCUGAUGGAGGGGGAUAACUACUGGAAACGGUAGCUAAUACCGCAUAACGUCGCAAGACCAAAGAGGGGGACCUUCGGGCCUCUUGCCAUCAGAUGUGCCCAGAUGGGAUUAGCUAGUAGGUGGGGUAACGGCUCACCUAGGCGACGAUCCCUAGCUGGUCUGAGAGGAUGACCAGCCACACUGGAACUGAGACACGGUCCAGACUCCUACGGGAGGCAGCAGUGGGGAAUAUUGCACAAUGGGCGCAAGCCUGAUGCAGCCAUGCCGCGUGUAUGAAGAAGGCCUUCGGGUUGUAAAGUACUUUCAGCGGGGAGGAAGGUGUUGUGGUUAAUAACCACAGCAAUUGACGUUACCCGCAGAAGAAGCACCGGCUAACUCCGUGCCAGCAGCCGCGGUAAUACGGAGGGUGCAAGCGUUAAUCGGAAUUACUGGGCGUAAAGCGCACGCAGGCGGUCUGUCAAGUCGGAUGUGAAAUCCCCGGGCUCAACCUGGGAACUGCAUUCGAAACUGGCAGGCUGGAGUCUUGUAGAGGGGGGUAGAAUUCCAGGUGUAGCGGUGAAAUGCGUAGAGAUCUGGAGGAAUACCGGUGGCGAAGGCGGCCCCCUGGACAAGACUGACGCUCAGUGCGAAAGCGUGGGAGCAACAGGAUUAGAUACUGUAGUCACGCCGUAAACGAUGUCGAUUUGGAGGUUGUGCCCUUGAGGCGUGGCUUCCGGAGCUAACGCGUUAAAUCGACCGCCUGGGGAGUACGGCCGCAAGGUUAAAACUCAAAUGAAUUGACGGGGGCCCGCACAAGCGGUGGAGCAUGUGGUUUAAUUCGAUGCAACGCGAAGAACCUUACCUGGUCUUGACAUCCACAGAACUUUCCAGAGAUGGAUUGGUGCCUUCGGGAACUGUGAGACAGGUGCUGCAUGGCUGUCGUCAGCUCGUGUUGUGAAAUGUUGGGUUAAGUCCCGCAACGAGCGCAACCCUUAUCCUUUGUUGCCAGCGGUUAGGCCGGGAACUCAAAGGAGACUGCCAGUGAUAAACUGGAGGAAGGUGGGGAUGACGUCAAGUCAUCAUGGCCCUUACGACCAGGGCUACACACGUGCUACAAUGGCGCAUACAAAGAGAAGCGACCUCGCGAGAGCAAGCGGACCUCAUAAAGUGCGUCGUAGUCCGGAUUGGAGUCUGCAACUCGACUCCAUGAAGUCGGAAUCGCUAGUAAUCGUAGAUCAGAA
Molecule: ribosomal RNA, 1260 nt
Filed under: Enterobacter sp. SR1.5
Lineage: Bacteria; Pseudomonadati; Pseudomonadota; Gammaproteobacteria; Enterobacterales; Enterobacteriaceae
Description: bacterial SSU rRNA
Rfam family: Bacterial small subunit ribosomal RNA
Source: RNAcentral